Molecule: ribosomal RNA, 455 nt
Filed under: uncultured bacterium
Lineage: Bacteria
Description: bacterial SSU rRNA
Rfam family: Bacterial small subunit ribosomal RNA
Source: RNAcentral
GCACAAGCGGUGGAGCAUGUGGUUUAAUUCGACGCGACGCGAAGAACCUUACCUGGGCUCGAAAUGUAGUGGAAUCCGGUGGAAACAUCGGCGUCUAGCAAUAGACCGCUAUAUAGGUGCUGCAUGGCUGUCGUCAGCUCGUGUCGUGAGAUGUUGGGUUAAGUCCCGCAACGAGCGCAACCCUUAUUACCAGUUGCUACCAUUUAGUUGAGCACUCUGGUGAGACCGCCUCGGAUAACGGGGAGGAAGGCGGGGAUGACGUCAAGUCCUCAUGGCCUUUAUGUCCAGGGCUACACACGUGCUACAAUGGCGGUGACAGCGGGAGGCGAAGGGGCGACCCUUAGCAAAUCUCGAAAAGCCGUCUCAGUUCGGAUUGCACUCUGCAACUCGAGUGCAUGAAGUUGGAAUCGCUAGUAAUCGCGGAUCAGCACGCCGCGGUGAAUACGUUCCCGGGC